CCUACGGGGGGCUGCAGUGGGGAAUAUUGGACAAUGGGCGAAAGCCUGAUCCAGCCAUGCCGCGUGUGUGAAGAAUGCCUUCGGGUUGUAAAGCACUUUCAGUGGGGAAGAAAGCCUUGGGGCUAAUACCCUCGAGGAAGGACAUCACCCACAGAAGAAGCACCGGCUAACUCCGUGCCAGCAGCCGCGGUAAUACGGAGGUGCGAGCGUUAAUCGGAAUUACUGGGCGUAAAGCGCGCGUAGGCGGUCUGAUAAGCCGGUUGUGAAAGCCCCGGGCUCAACCUGGGAACGGCAUCCGGAACUGUCAGGCUAGAGUGCAGGAGAGGAAGGUAGAAUUCCCGGUGUAGCGGUGAAAUGCGUAGAGAUCGGGAGGAAUACCAGUGGCGAAGGCGGCCUUCUGGACUGACACUGACGCUGAGGUGCGAAAGCGUGGGUAGCAAACAGGAUUAGAUACCCUGGUAGUC
This 464-nucleotide ribosomal RNA is filed under the name Vreelandella stevensii. RNAcentral's name for it is "partial 16S ribosomal RNA". It matches the Rfam family "Bacterial small subunit ribosomal RNA", at positions 338 to 795 of the family's 1533-position model. Lineage: Bacteria; Pseudomonadati; Pseudomonadota; Gammaproteobacteria; Oceanospirillales; Halomonadaceae. The record is from RNAcentral.